AUACGUAGGGGGCGAGCGUUGUCCGGAAUGAUUGGGCGUAAAGGGCGCGUAGGCGGCGCGGUAAGUCUGGAGUGAAAGUCCUGCUUUCGAGGUGGGAAUUGCUUUGGAUACUGCCGCGCUUGAGUGCAGGAGAGGUUAUCGGAAUUCCCGGUGUAGCGGUGAAAUGCGUAGAGAUCGGGAGGAACACCAGUGGCGAAGGCGGCUUACUGGACGAUUACUGACGUUGAGGCUCGAAAGCGUGGGGAGCAAACAGGAUUAGAUACCCUGGUAGUCCACGCGGUAAACGAUGAAUACUAGGUGUCGGGUGGCAACAGCCAUUCGGUGCCGCAGCAAACGCAAUAAGUAUUCCACCUGGGGAGUACGUUCGCAAGAAUGAAACUCAAAUGAAUUGACGGGG
RNAcentral lists this ribosomal RNA (397 nucleotides) under uncultured bacterium. RNAcentral describes it as "partial 16S ribosomal RNA". It matches the Rfam family "Bacterial small subunit ribosomal RNA", at positions 523 to 918 of the family's 1533-position model. The record is from RNAcentral.